This is a long non-coding RNA of Haliotis rubra (blacklip abalone), 483 nucleotides long. RefSeq lists it as uncharacterized. NCBI's taxonomy places the organism in Eukaryota, Metazoa, Mollusca, Gastropoda, Lepetellida, Haliotidae. The transcript has 3 exons. The record is from RefSeq and is a predicted model, not a curated record.
CUGGAAGAAGCUUCAGGGCAAAGUGCCACCUAUACCCCAGGAACUCAGUAGAUGGCCACAAAUAUUUCAAGCCUGUUGGCAGCCGGGACUUCAGAUGCGGCAUCCAUUGAAACACAUCCAGCAGAUGUUGACAAUGACCUUGACCGCCAGGAGCUAGACCAGACAGCAGAUGCGGACGUCACGUGUGGAGGAUGGACAGACUGACCCUUCACUGACUCAAUCACUUCUGAAGCGAUGUUGCACAUCUAUGCCUACAGCAAACAGCAUCGAAAGGUGUCAAUCACUGGUGUGGGCAGAGCAGACGUCCACCGCUUUGUGUUCUGGAAGGGAACUUUGGAGACCUUAGCAUAACAUCUAUGCUUAGCAUAACAUCACUGCCACAGGCUAAUUUGCAUAUCACGUGACCGGACUUUUUCUCUUGUUUGUAAGCAAACGUGCAUAUUCAUAAUAAGAAGUGACUGGAAUUACGCAAGCUUUUCGGGG